Molecule: transfer RNA, 72 nt
Filed under: Acrobates pygmaeus
Lineage: Eukaryota; Metazoa; Chordata; Mammalia; Diprotodontia; Acrobatidae
Description: tRNA-Asn
Source: RNAcentral
UAAAUUGAGGCCAAAUGUCCAGGUGCUUAGCUGUUAACUAAGAGAUAGUGGGGUAAGAACCCACCAAUUUAG